RNAcentral lists this ribosomal RNA (466 nucleotides) under uncultured bacterium. RNAcentral describes it as "partial 16S ribosomal RNA". It matches the Rfam family "Bacterial small subunit ribosomal RNA", at positions 28 to 507 of the family's 1533-position model. The record is from RNAcentral.
GAUGAACGCUGGCGGCGUGCUUAACACAUGCAAGUCGAACGAUGAAGCCCAGCUUGCUGGGUGGAUUAGUGGCGAACGGGUGAGUAACACGUGAGUAACCUGCCCUUGACUCUGGGAUAAGCCUGGGAAACUGGGUCUAAUACUGGAUAUGACUUCUCAUCGCAUGGUGGGGGGUGGAAAGAUUUAUUGGUCUUGGAUGGACUCGCGGCCUAUCAGCUUGUUGGUGAGGUAAUGGCUCACCAAGGCGACGACGGGUAGCCGGCCUGAGAGGGUGACCGGCCACACUGGGACUGAGACACGGCCCAGACUCCUACGGGAGGCAGCAGUGGGGAAUAUUGCACAAUGGGCGCAAGCCUGAUGCAGCGACGCCGCGUGAGGGAUGACGGCCUUCGGGUUGUAAACCUCUUUCAGUAGGGAAGAAGCGAGAGUGACGUUACCUGCAGAAGAAGCGCCGGCUAACUACGUG